Molecule: long non-coding RNA, 568 nt
Filed under: Marmota monax (woodchuck)
Lineage: Eukaryota; Metazoa; Chordata; Mammalia; Rodentia; Sciuridae
Source: RNAcentral
CAUGAAGGCUGUCUUCCCAUUGGAAAUGGUUGAACAGUUCCCUAAUAGAGAGAUUUAAACUUUGUGUACAUAGAUGGGUCUGUGUGUAUGAUUUUAAAUAACAUUACAAACACAUUGUGCUUGAGAUGUUUAGAAGGAGAUACCUGAAGAAUUGAAAACUAAAAUAAAACAGAAUGCUAGAGCUGGAAGGGGCAUGUAUUUAUUAUGUUUUUCUAAGUCAGUCAUUAUAGAUUUUAAAAAAAUAAACUGAUGCCAAAAAAAGGGAAAUGUUUUGCUCAAGACUCCAGUUUCCUGCCACUUCCAGCCUAGACCCCCAAAGGGAUUUCAGUGACUUUCACUUACUGCUGCACCACUGCCAACACUUUGUAAAAACGAGGGAGAGAAAAGGCCGUGAGUCAAGCUCAAGAAUACAAAUCAAAAAGAAUUAGAUGCUGCAGAAAAAGCUUCAUUUAUCAGGAAGAACCCAUGUUAGUGGUAUCAUGGUUGUCUUUCACCCUGCCUGGCCCUGCUCAGCUAGGGCUACUGCUUUGAAAUGUCUGUUCUCAGAAAUAGCCUGCUCUGUGUCCAA